Haemorhous mexicanus (house finch) is the source of this 6421-nucleotide long non-coding RNA. RefSeq lists it as uncharacterized. The transcript is spliced from 7 exons. The record is from RefSeq and is a predicted model, not a curated record. NCBI's taxonomy places the organism in Eukaryota, Metazoa, Chordata, Aves, Passeriformes, Fringillidae.
AGCGGAGGGGGCUGAGAUGGGUCGGCAGACACCGCUGAGAGCGAGGGUUUGCCCGCGGAUCUAAGGAACACACCGGGUAUCCUCCCCCCGCCCUCGGCUCAGUGAAGGGUCGAGGCGAAAGCAGAUUAAAACCAUAUGAACCGGGAUAAAUCCCUGCCGAUCAGAAGAUGUAAUCUCCUGUGAUUCCACCAGAUAUAUUUCUCAAUAGAAACAUAUCCCGAUUUAUUCCCUCCUCGCAUAUUUUUUCCCUUGCGGUUGAGGAAAGGAGCUGCUCCAGCGGCCGCGGACCCUUGGCCAUCGGGAUCCGCUGUGCCUUUCUCGGUCGAGGGAGGGGGAGAAUAGCGAAGCAACAGAAGUUUUAACCAUCUUCCCAUGGCAUCUGACUUUUUUGAAGAGGAGGACUUUUCAACCACUUGAUGGAAGGGAAAUAAGAAGUUUGUUUCAAGACUCUUAUGUUGUUCAUCAGUGCUGUUAACAAACGUGGGGCUUGAGGAUACAUUUGCUGCUUCUCUGCAUUUUUGCUGAAGAUAUGUGCAUUUGAAGGAAGGACCUUGCUGUCUCCCAGCUCCUGUGGGCAUUAGGUUUCAUGAAUGUCUUGGGAUGAGGACAGCUCUGUAGAGCCUGAGUUUCAAAAGUAAUUUUAAAGAUUGCACCCAAGAGAGAAGCAGUGAGAUGCACAGUGGGGAGAAUGAACCCAGCAGUCCAUCCUGUCCUGUACCUCCCUGAAUAUGGGAAGAGACCUAGUACAAAGCCAGAAUGCAGCUGGGCUUGCACUCUUUUUAACCAUAUUAAGUCCUGUUGAGAGUUAAUGAUGAGCUCAGUUAGAUGGUGUCAGCAGUGCUGAAGAAGGGAAGGACAGAAUUGGAAGACAGGAGCUAUUUCAAAGCAGGAUUCUUCAUCUUUCUGUAAUUCCCAAACAUGAAGACUUUAUAAACUUCAUUAGAUCCUGCUAUCAAUGACUGAGCCUCCCUGAAAUCUUCUUAUCAGUUACUGCCAAGAUGAGAAGGAUAACAGGAAGGAGGAGUGCUUAAGUGGAUUAAUGACAGUUAAUUUCUUCUAUUUAUCAAAUGACAGGUUGUUUUUUCCUCAAAACUUGAUUGUCAUGACAAGAUGCUUUUGGAAGUCAUUUUUGUAAAAUAAAACUGACAAUUUUUAGGCUACAAGGAGCUAUUGUAUCUUUCUAUUGGAUGUUGUUAUUAUGGAAAAAUGCUGGAAAGUCUUUAUUUUUGAUGUGAUUUAACUUGCAUACUUCAUUCAUUUAUUUUAGUAUCUGUUGAAUGCCAUGUGAAAAGUUUCUUGCCAGAAUUCUUUUAUUCAAUUGAAUAGUUAUUGUUAUAAUGCUCAAUUUAUUAAUGCCUAAAUUACUGUUGCCCUAGCCUCCUACAAAAAUGUUUCUUUUUAGUAAUUCUUAAACAAAUAAGGAAUGAAUGAGGUUUUGUCCCCUUUGUGUUUUGAUCAGCAUAUUUUCCCUUUCAGUGAAAGUGUCUUCAUUUUUUGGAAUGUCUGAACGCAAAAAAAGGUGUUUUGGUUUUGGGGGUUUUUCUCCCAACAGCACAUGUCUUUUGUGCAAUGAUUUUUUAAUAUGUACACUGCCAAGAUACAAUUACUGGAAGGAGAGAGAGAAGCUGUUGGGAAUGUCAUGUUAUGCCAAAUUAAGAAUUAUUAGCUCUUACUUUCUGUGCAGUCUCUUCGACUAGAACUCGACCUAUUGCGUCUGGCGUAUACUUUGACUCUAGUGGAACUAAUGUGUCCUUGGAGUAGCAUUUCAGAGUAACUUCAGAUUCAUGCUUUUUUCACAAGUCUGCUUUAAACUGCUGGGAUUAACUUCAGAGAAGGCGAGAGAUACAAGCUCCUUUGUCAGCAGCUGUGCUGGUUGAAGAAGGAGGCUUCAUGCACACUUGCUUGCUCAUUCUCUCCCUGCUAGGGAAGCAGACUGAACUGUUUCCCUGAGCACAUGCAGGCUGACUUCAGCCAAAGUGAAUCGUGUUAUCAGGUAUUAGUUAUCAGUGCCCUGGGUCACUCUGAUGAAAGGACAGGGCAUGCACAGACCAGCUGUGCAGACGUCAUGUCUGGGAAGGGUGCUGUGUUGACAAGAGUUGCUGAGGGCUGGCCCUGCUGUGUCGCCUUUUCAGCAGGUGCAGUUACAUCUCUCAGAUGUGGUAAAAAUUGGAUGUGUUAGAAAGCUAUGCAGAUCUGUCAUGCAUAAUAUUCACAUUCCAUGGGCAUCCUGGAUAAUGCAGAAUAAACCUGAGCUCUUUGACUUACUCCUUGUGUGUGCCAGUAUGAGGGGAGAGAACCAGUGUGUGUGUACAUGCCAGACACUUAUUUCAGGAAAAUGUAUCUGGUCAAGGUGUGGGAAUGGUACAAGGGUUUGCAUUAUCUAGAGAGCACACUUUUUACUUUACUCAUCAAAGAGACUGCCUCAGCCAGCACAUGCCUGAGGAGAGCUGCUUUUGACACAUCAGCUGCCUUGAGAAGAGGAGGGAGAACAGCUCCAGCAGGAGUGGCUGCUGUUCAGAAGAUGCUGGAGUCUGGUGAGGCAUCCAAGCUCUUGCUAUUGCUUGGGCCAAAAUUAGAAUAGUAUGGAUAAUCUUUAGUACUCAAAGACAGAGUGAGUAAAAGCAGUGCUCUGAACAGCACCUUCCACACUGACCCUUCUUGUGCAAAGGCUGUGGAGUUUAGGUGCCUUCCUAGAGCCAGCCUGGGCGUACAAAGAAGAGAAACCUGAGAGCAGCAGCACUGCUUGUAUCUCCUCUUGGGGCACUGCCAGCUGAAAAGAACACAGCCACAGAAAGGACUGAGUCUCCAGCUCAGGUUGUGUGUUGUCCCUUAUCUUUUAUUUGUCCUUAAGGUAAAAGAUGAGGAAUAUGCAGUGGCCAUACUGUACAUAUGGAAGGGAAGAAAAUAAAGUGCCAGGUGUGUGAGGAAGGGGCAGGUGUGGGUCCAGGUGUGAGAGCUGUGCCGUGUUCCAGCAGCCCAGAGCUGAGCCAUGGCUGAGCUCUCAGUGCUGGGUUCAGGAGUGAUGUCACAUGUCUCACCUGACCAUGAGCUAAGUGCAAAUAACCUCCACAGCUCUCCGAGACAGCCCAUAAUCCAUAUCACUCUUUUUAUCUUAAAAUGGAUUGUUGCAGUACCGAGAUUGAAAUGUUUAAUGAAAUGCUUGUGAUUGCUUAGGUAUCUAUUUAUCUGCCUAAGUGGAAAUACACAGGUAAACCAGUACUGCAAAAUAACGUCUUACAUUUAACACUGACAUGGAUAUAAAGCUGAUGAGUAAAAUUUUACAUCCAAGCACUUAAAACCAUCAAAUACUAUAGCUAAAUUGCCAUACUGCUUAUGUAGUGCUAAAAAGACAACAAAAUCAAACUUCAGGGAAGGCAGAUUUUCUUAUAAAUAUUCCAAAUAAUAGGUUGGUUUCAAGUAGACUUCCUGGCUCUUUGGUGAUUGCUGAAUUUGGUCUGAAUCUAUCAGGAACCCCAAUCAUAAUGGUGUGUUUAUUAUUAUAAACACAUGACUUCUAUUUAAGUUAUCCACAAAUAUGUUGGACAAAACAUAGUUUACCUUCUUAACUGGUACUAUAUGGUUACUUUCUAACUCCUUUAAUUUCAGUUCUAACUUGAUUGAAUUAAAGGUGCAUUCCUGACAAUAAUCUUUACAUCUGUAAUGGAACACUUGAUUUUGUAUGACUGUUUGCAUACUCCAGACAUAACACAACAUUUUUAUAGCAAUAUGUGUUGACAAUACACAGAGAUAAAAAUCAGUUUAUGACAAACUAAGGAGCAAACUUUCAAUAAGACCAAUGAAUCAGUAGAAAUUAUUAGAAAGGGAAUAUUAGAUUUUCUGUCUUUUGAAUGAGGAUGAAAUAUUUUUAUAGAGGUAUAUGCUUGAACAAGUGGCUGGGAGUGGUCAAGGAAUUCCUCACAGGCUUCUGUGGCUUUUGCAACACCUGAGGUCAGACUGGGUCAUCUUAGACAUCCUUCUGGCUUGGAAGGGAGUGAGAAGUCUCAGUGUAGCAAAUAUCCUCAUAGAAUAGCAGCUUCCACUGAAAAGUUACUCAAAGGUAAUUAAGCUUAUCUUCAAAAAAGGAUUGGGAGGGGCAUUGGGAAUGUUCCUGUCUCCUAGUGCCAUGCCUUUUUCAAAGAUCCUCUUUCACCUGACAGCUUGCUCCUGUGGGGUGUUUCAUUGGCUGAGGUGGGUUUCUCUGGUUCAUCCAUCCUUGUCCCACCUACAUUAAUAACAGCACAUGAACAUCUUUUUCAGGUCAAGUGUCUUCUACAGUGUCUACUUCUACAAAGUGUAAUGUUGCCUUUCUGCUAGAAAUAAUUAUUCAGUUGAAAAUAAUCUGACAACAUCCUGCUGUGGAUAAAUUAGGUUAGCUCUCUACUAAGAUUAGUUAGCUGGCAUCCAUUCACUAACAUAUUACAAGAAAAUGAUUGCAAGUUGAUUGUGUCCAGUUAUCUGCCUUUUUUUCUGUUUAAUAGGCUUUUUGUUGCCAUGCUGUCACCAAACGUGUGCAAGUCAUACUAUUCCCAGUGCCCUGCAGCCUGGGGAGAUGGUGUUUGCUGUCCCGUACCAUGGAAAGACUUUUGGGCAGAAGUGUUUGGAGAAGGGGAGAGGUUGUGACCUUGUAGAUUUCUGAAUCUUGUGCACCUUUGGUUUUGGCCCACAGGGAUGUGUUCUGCUCUAUGGCAAUCAAUACAUUACCACCAAAGUUGAAAUUCCAGGUAUAAUUAGCUCAUGUGUUUAAAUAGGUGUUGUUAUUUUUCAGCUUGUAUAUACAAGCCUGUUUUCAUGCAGAAGUCCAUAUUUUACUUGGGAAGAAUGCUGUGCAAAUCAGAAAAAGCAGAAAAAGUAUUUUAAGUUAUGUGCUAGUGUUUAAGAAUUUAGAAAUAACUGUGAGAUCUUGUAGGUACCCAGUUUGUGGUGACUGGGAUGGGGCUGGCCCAGCCUCAUCCCCAACGAGCUACAGCUGUGAGGAGCAGGUGAGCAGCAUUGUCACAAUGAGCCAUGGAGUGCCCAGGGGCACUGACCAACCACCAAAGGGAACACAGGGCACACAGGUGCAGUGCAUUAGCAGUGAGGGGCACACAGGUGCAGUGCAUUAGCAGUGAGGGGCACACAGGUGCAGUGCAUCAACACUGAGGGGCACACAGGUGCAGUGAAUUAACACUGAGGGUGUAAAAAGUUGGGCUAAAGAGCAAGAAGGACAAAAGUUUGCAGCCUGCUGAAGUGGCUUGGUAUUACUCUGUAUGGGCAGAUACCUGAAGCCUUCUGAUGUGGUAAAGUGUUACUGUGUUUGGGGGAGUGCUUAAAGCCUUAUGUAAUUGUAUGGUGAUGCUCUGUGCAUUGUGGCUGUCUCGACUGUGCCCUGUAUUGUGACAAGAUCUUUAUUUCUUUGUUUACAAUUGAUUAGGGCUAGAGUUUUAAAAGCUUAGUGCUGACUCAAAGUGCUUUGCAGUCAGUCACUAAGAAAUAUGGGCUUGGCCCAAUUCACGUUUAUAUCCUUCAGUAUAUCCAUUAUUGUUAGAUGCUGAGUGGUUAUUGUACAUAGAUGACUGGUUUUUUUAGGUAUUUUACAUUUUUAUGUGUUCAGAAAAAUACUUUGUUUAAGUAGCUGCUGGGUGAAUGGAGUAAUUAAAGAAUUGUACUGAUUUUAUUGAAGCUGACAUAUGCUGCACGUUCCUUAAAACUCAGUAUGUGAGCAGAAUGUUUCCAGGAUUUAUUGAAGGCAGGCAUCUAGAGAUAGUGGGGAGCUUUUAAUAGUUGUAAAGAUAACUUCCAAGUUUUAUGCUGUUAUAUAAACCUGUCUUUAAGAAGAGAGCUGUUAUUGCAAUACAUUGCUCAUGUUCUUUGUAUUUUGUCUGUGUGUAUGUUUUCUGUAUGUACUUGUACACCUACAAACAAAUGCUUGACCUGGACACUUUAAUUUGACAGUGAUUUUAUAUUCUAUUUACUAUUUAUUUUGGGGAAAAAAAGUGUUUUAAUGCUGACUGAGAAUCUCAUUUUCUUGGUAAGAAAAGUAAUUUUCAGUAUAUUGUGGGGAGUUUUAAUUAAUUUUUUUUUAAAACUGGAAUAUAUCCCUGCUUAGUUUGAGUUACAGUUCUUACUGUGAGAGUGUUGUGGUAGCAAGCAAGAAAUCUUACUCAGCAUAAACUGAGGCUGGGUUUCAUUUUGACUAGUUUGAUGAGUGCGAUGUUCCACGUGUGAUACUUUUGCAAGUUGUGAAAAAAUAGACUUGUUUAUCUAUCAUCUGUAUUUCAUAUGAUUUCAGAGUAGCAUGUUGUCAUUACUAUUGAAUUACUUGGCUAAAACUAGCAAACUUUUGCCUGUAUAUUUUGUAAUGUUUAGACCUUAAGCAUUUUUCAAGCAAUAUGUUUGACUUACUAUUGUUGCCCACUGUAAAAUAAAAUACAAUAUUAAAAUA